UAAAAGGGUACAAAAAGCAAAACAGAACAUUCAAUUGUGGACACUUUUUAAAGGCCAAACACACUACUGAAUCAUGGACGGAGGGAGUACAAUUUUGAUAUUUCAACCUUGAAGUUUUAAUUGUUAUAUCGCGUCAUUUCGUUGCUUUUAGCAACCCUUACCAUCAAAGCCAUUCUCUAUCAUCCUCAAAAGUCUACUCCUACCCUCUAUGGCCUUUUGAGUAAAACCUUCUCUGCAAAGUCAUAUCCCAUGUUCCACCCAAAUCUUCCCCAUCACUCUCCACAAAUCUUCACAAACUCUUCCUCUCACAAGCAGCAAAAAUUCAGGAGCAAAACACAAACAAUUUCAUAGCCCUUCUAAUAGCUCCGUUCACUGAGGUUCAUCAGCAGCAAAUCCAGCAGCUGCACCUUCCACAUUUCAGCAACUCAAACCAAAAACUCUUGAAGGUUUCAUCAAACUCCCUUGCUGCUUUAUUUCGCAUUUCAAUAGAGAAACCCAAUUCAUUUACGUAUAAAGACUUUCAGCAUCCAACAAGAAUCACACGUCACAUGUGCAUAUCAUCUGUGUAUAUAUAUAUAUAUACAUAUGAAAUCUGUAAAGAAAGGGAAGAAGUAGAAAAGAGACGAUUUUUACAAAAGAUUAAAUCUUGAAACUUUGUCUUUA
This is a long non-coding RNA of Salvia miltiorrhiza (redroot sage), 663 nucleotides long. RefSeq lists it as uncharacterized. The record is from RefSeq and is a predicted model, not a curated record. The transcript has 2 exons. NCBI's taxonomy places the organism in Eukaryota, Viridiplantae, Streptophyta, Magnoliopsida, Lamiales, Lamiaceae.